This 631-nucleotide ribosomal RNA is filed under the name Salmonella enterica. RNAcentral describes it as "partial 23S ribosomal RNA". It matches the Rfam family "Bacterial large subunit ribosomal RNA", at positions 2172 to 2802 of the family's 2925-position model. Lineage: Bacteria; Pseudomonadati; Pseudomonadota; Gammaproteobacteria; Enterobacterales; Enterobacteriaceae. RNAcentral also lists the same sequence under 3 other names. The record is from RNAcentral.
CAGUCUGCAUGGAGCCGACCUUGAAAUACCACCCUUUAAUGUUUGAUGUUCUAACGUGGACCCGUGAUCCGGGUUGCGGACAGUGUCUGGUGGGUAGUUUGACUGGGGCGGUCUCCUCCUAAAGAGUAACGGAGGAGCACGAAGGUUGGCUAAUCCUGGUCGGACAUCAGGAGGUUAGUGCAAUGGCAUAAGCCAGCUUGACUGCGAGCGUGACGGCGCGAGCAGGUGCGAAAGCAGGUCAUAGUGAUCCGGUGGUUCUGAAUGGAAGGGCCAUCGCUCAACGGAUAAAAGGUACUCCGGGGAUAACAGGCUGAUACCGCCCAAGAGUUCAUAUCGACGGCGGUGUUUGGCACCUCGAUGUCGGCUCAUCACAUCCUGGGGCUGAAGUAGGUCCCAAGGGUAUGGCUGUUCGCCAUUUAAAGUGGUACGCGAGCUGGGUUUAGAACGUCGUGAGACAGUUCGGUCCCUAUCUGCCGUGGGCGCUGGAGAACUGAGGGGGGCUGCUCCUAGUACGAGAGGACCGGAGUGGACGCAUCACUGGUGUUCGGGUUGUCAUGCCAAUGGCACUGCCCGGUAGCUAAAUGCGGAAGAGAUAAGUGCUGAAAGCAUCUAAGCACGAAACUUGCCCCGA